This 419-nucleotide ribosomal RNA is filed under the name bacterium. RNAcentral's name for it is "partial 16S ribosomal RNA". It matches the Rfam family "Bacterial small subunit ribosomal RNA", at positions 355 to 776 of the family's 1533-position model. The record is from RNAcentral.
UGGGGGAUAUUGCACAAUGGGCGAAAGCCUGAUGCAGCGACGCCGCGUGGGGGAUGAAGGCCUUCGGGUUGUAAACUUCUUUUGCUCUGAACAAGGCGCACCAUGGGGUGUGUUGAGUGUAGGGGUUGAUUAGCGCCGGCUAACUACGUGCCAGCAGCCGCGGUAAUACGUAGGGCGCGAGCGUUGUCCGGAAUUAUUGGGCGUAAAGGGCUUGUAGGUGGCUGGUUGCGUCUGUCGUGAAAGCUCAUGGCUUAACUGUGGGUUUGCGGUGGGUACGGGCUGGCUUGAGUGCAGUAGGGGAGGCUGGAAUUCCGGGUGUAGCGGUGGAAUGCGCAGAUAUCAGGAGGAAUACCGGUGGCGAAGGCGGGUCUCUGGGCUGUUACUGACACUGAGGAGCGAAAGCAUGGGGAGCGAACAGG